Molecule: ribosomal RNA, 433 nt
Filed under: uncultured bacterium
Lineage: Bacteria
Description: partial 16S ribosomal RNA
Rfam family: Bacterial small subunit ribosomal RNA
Source: RNAcentral
AACGAACGCUGGCGGCAGGCCUAACACAUGCAAGUCGAGCGAGCAUUUCGGUGCUAGCGGCGGACGGGUGAGUAACGCGUGGGAACGUGCCCUUUUCUGCGGAAUAGUCCUGGGAAACUGGGGGUAAUACCGCAUACGCCCUUUUGGGGAAAGAUUUAUCGGAGAAGGAUCGGCCCGGGUUGGAUUAGGUAGUUGGUGGGGUAAUGGCCCACCAAGCCGACGAUCCAUAGCUGGUGUGAGAGGAUGAUCAGCCACACUGGGACUGAGACACGGCCCAGACUCCUACGGGAGGCAGCAGUGGGGAAUCUUAUACAAUGGAGGCAGCCCUAAUCUAGCCAUGCCGCGUGAGUGAUGAAGGCCUUAGGGUUGUAAAGCUCUUUCAGCUGGGAAGAUAAUGACGGUACCAGCAGAAGAAGCCCCGGCUAACUCCGUG